This 483-nucleotide ribosomal RNA is filed under the name Ruegeria sp. HDEN8. RNAcentral describes it as "bacterial SSU rRNA". It matches the Rfam family "Bacterial small subunit ribosomal RNA", at positions 382 to 883 of the family's 1533-position model. Lineage: Bacteria; Pseudomonadati; Pseudomonadota; Alphaproteobacteria; Rhodobacterales; Roseobacteraceae. The record is from RNAcentral.
CCUGAUCCAGCCAUGCCGCGUGAGUGAUGAAGGCCCUAGGGUCGUAAAGCUCUUUCGCCUGUGAAGAUAAUGACGGUAGCAGGUAAAGAAACCCCGGCUAACUCCGUGCCAGCAGCCGCGGUAAUACGGAGGGGGUUAGCGUUGUUCGGAAUUACUGGGCGUAAAGCGCACGUAGGCGGAUCGGAAAGUUGGGGGUGAAAUCCCGGGGCUCAACCCCGGAACUGCCUCCAAAACUAUCGGUCUAGAGUUCGAGAGAGGUGAGUGGAAUUCCGAGUGUAGAGGUGAAAUUCGUAGAUAUUCGGAGGAACACCAGUGGCGAAGGCGGCUCACUGGCUCGAUACUGACGCUGAGGUGCGAAAGUGUGGGGAGCAAACAGGAUUAGAUACCCUGGUAGUCCACACCGUAAACGAUGAAUGCCAGUCGUCGGGUAGCAUGCUAUUCGGUGACACACCUAACGGAUUAAGCAUUCCGCCUGGGGAGUAC